UCCUGGCUCAGGACGAACGCUGGCGGCGCGCCUAACACAUGCAAGUCGAACGGAGUUAAAUAGCUUGCUAUUAACUAGUGGCGGACGGGUGAGUAACACGUGAGCAACCUGCCUUUCAGAGGGGGACAACAGUUGGAAACGACUGCUAAUACCGCAUAACGUGGUUUUCCGGCAUCGGAGAGCUACCAAAGAUUUAUCGCUGAAAGAUGGGCUCGCGUCUGAUUAGAUAGUUGGUGAGGUAACGGCCCACCAAGUCGACGAUCAGUAGCCGGACUGAGAGGUUGAACGGCCACAUUGGGACUGAGACACGGCCCAGACUCCUACGGGAGGCAGCAGUGGGGGAUAUUGGAACCAAUGGGGGAAACCCUGAUCCAGCGACGCCGCGUGAGGGAAGAAGGUUUUCGGAUUGUAAACCUCUGUUGACGGGGAAGAAAAUGACGGUACCCGUUCGGAAAGCCACGGCUAACUACGUGCCAGCAGCCGC
This 484-nucleotide ribosomal RNA is filed under the name uncultured bacterium. RNAcentral's name for it is "bacterial SSU rRNA". It matches the Rfam family "Bacterial small subunit ribosomal RNA", at positions 17 to 518 of the family's 1533-position model. The record is from RNAcentral.